CAAAGGAAUCACAGAAGCCCACGUGCUACCUCACACGGGUGAUUCAGGGUGAGGCUCCCACGGGUGCCGGUGGACACGGACCCUCACACGGGUGAUUCAGGGUGAGGCUCCCGCAGGUGCUGGUGGACACAGAGCCUCACAUGGGUGAUUUAGGGUGGGGGCUCCCACAGGUGUCGGUGGACACGGACUCUUACACAGGUGAUUUAGGGUGGGGGCUCCCACGGGUGCUGGUGGACACGGAUCCUCACACGGGUGAAUCAGGGUGGGGCUCCCGCAGGUGCUGGUGGAC
Non-coding RNA from Chlorocebus sabaeus (green monkey), 289 nucleotides. Lineage: Eukaryota; Metazoa; Chordata; Mammalia; Primates; Cercopithecidae. The record is from RefSeq and is a predicted model, not a curated record.